Sorghum bicolor (sorghum) is the source of this 2081-nucleotide long non-coding RNA. RefSeq lists it as uncharacterized. Lineage: Eukaryota; Viridiplantae; Streptophyta; Magnoliopsida; Poales; Poaceae. The record is from RefSeq and is a predicted model, not a curated record. The transcript has 3 exons.
GAGCAUUCGCCGUGGACGAAACCAAAUUUGCACUCCCCUGCACCUCCACCUUUGCGGAGGAGAUGUCCGCUUGCAAUUUCCUUGCCGCUACCCUGCCAAGGACGACACCCCAUCCCCUGCCCUGCCGAGAACGCCGCCGCAACAUUACCAUUGCCACCUCUGCGUACCGGCCUGCCAACCGGCCCCUGUACCGCCGACCAUCAGAGGCACUCAUCUCACGACGCUCGAGCACCUGCAGCCUCGUCCCCCACGCUGCCGAGCGCUAGGCCACCGCCCGACGACGCCCCUGCCCCUCGGACUUUCAGAUCGCCGACGCUCAAGCGACCAAACUCGACGAGUUGAGAGGUUAAAGAUAAGAGCGGCGGGACCACAACGUUAAAAAGAUGGAGUGGGCUUCUGGCCUUUUUCAGAGCGCAAGCAGAAGCAGUCACGGACUGCAGCAAGCAGAAGCCCUCUCUUCCUCUCUUGGAGUCACGCUCCCGCUUUCCAACACCCUACACCAGCGGCCGCUCAGCCCCGGAGCUCGCAUCCUUCUGCCCGUGUGUCGAUGUGUGGUCCUUCGAGAAAUCUGCUCCCAAUCUCUCCCGUAAUUGGUUGGUGAUGGUGGUCUCUGGGUGCUUGUUGAAUUGACUGUGAGUAAAAAGUUGUCGAGAUUGGAGCGUGAUUUGGAGUGAUGUCCAGAUUGUAGUCAUUCUCAGGAAUACUGAAUUUGGGAUUGCAGACUACCUCUAUAGCGAUGUACUCUCUUCUCAACUACUUCUGUUGCAGCUUCUCAACUACUUCGGCAUGAUUAACAAACCAGAAUUGCACCAGUAGAUCGACAUUGUUGUUCAUUCCGAUUUGUUUCAAUUGGCAGUACUAAAGUUAUUCGUUUCAAAGACAGGGAGUUUUCUGCCCCUAACCCUCCUGAACCUGAGAAAUAGAGGGAGUUUGUACUGAAGAUUAAAAAAGGUUCUCAAUGUGAUCCAUUGGUCUUUUGAUCAUUCUAUUGUAAGUAAUAAGCGCACAUAUUUAUACUUUUACCUGCUUUCUUCAGUCUAAUCAGAACCAGAAAUGACGUGUUUCAAAUGCUAGAGGUACAAUAUUAGACCUAUGGAAUGUUGAAGUCUUUUCCUCGCUUGUCUUGUUUAUAUGCAAACUGGCAAGUCCUUGAUAAUAUCCAGUUAAUGAAUUCUUCAAUUUUUAUAUGUGCAGACCACUCUUCAAAAUUAUAGAUCUCUCAAGCUCAUGCAGGUGCAUAUUGUUCGACACUAUGAUAUAAGCAUCUUUCAAGUUCUUGAUAUAUGAUCAAUCCUAGGAAAAGCUGAACGAGAUCAGUGAUAGGCUUAGCUCUUUUAAUCCUGAUGCCUUUUCACUGAUUAUUCCUGCUAACUGAAUGUGUGUGUGUGACCUUCAAAUGAAUGUAAGUAUGCCUCAUCAUUUGGUAAUCACAGCUUCAUAUAUGUAGGAUACCUCUGUUUUAAGUUUCUUUUGUCAGGGUGCUGCAUGGUUGUGCACAAUCUUAUUUAGGCCAUGACAGACUCAAAAAUUGAGUUACUACAUUUUUGUUUAGUGCAUUCACCAGGUAGACGAAAACCACUACUUUGCUCAUAUGCUGGGACCUGUAUGUGGCCGGGCGUUGAAUACUUGAAUCAGCUAAUCCCUCCCUGUUGUUUAGUUCAAGUGUUUUUCUCCAUUUUCAGUCAUCUGCACUUUUCCCAUUCCUGUUUAUGGAGACUUGAGACAGCUCUGCAAAUUAACCUUCCCAAACAACUUUAAUAUUCUCUACUAAUACUAAGUUUACGGUGAUUAAACUUUAUAGUAGUAUAGUAGAGAUUUUUAGAAUUCUCCAUCGCUUUGAAUUUCAUAUUGCAUUGACCAUCGACUCAGUUCAUUUCUUUUUUUCACAGUAUCUCUUGUAGAUUUACUUCUACCUCAUAGCUUUCAGAGGUGCUUAAUACAUGAUUGUUUAGAUUCAGGAUUCGCCGCCUCAUUGUCUAUUUAAUAAGGUGAACAAUAUAUUCAUGUGAGAUUUUAGGCAAUCUUGUUAUACAUAAUAUUUUCUGAAAUUUAAGUCAAUUGGUGACUAGCUGCAUCAGCAA